Molecule: ribosomal RNA, 254 nt
Filed under: uncultured bacterium
Lineage: Bacteria
Description: partial 16S ribosomal RNA
Rfam family: Bacterial small subunit ribosomal RNA
Source: RNAcentral
UACGGGGGGAGCAAGCGUUGUCCGGAUUUACUGGGCGUAAAGGGCGCGUAGGCGGCCACCGCAAGUCGACUGUGAAAUCUCCGGGCUUAACCCGGAAAGGUCAGCCGAUACUGCGGGGCUAGAGUGCAGAAGGGGCAACUGGAAUUCUCGGUGUAGCGGUGAAAUGCGUAGAUAUCGAGAGGAACACCUGCGGCGAAGGCGGGUUGCUGGGCUGACACUGACGCUGAUGUGCGAAAGCUAGGGGAGCGAACGGG